RNAcentral lists this ribosomal RNA (411 nucleotides) under uncultured prokaryote. RNAcentral's name for it is "bacterial SSU rRNA". It matches the Rfam family "Bacterial small subunit ribosomal RNA", at positions 505 to 918 of the family's 1533-position model. The record is from RNAcentral.
GUGCCAGCCGCCGCGGUAAUACGGAGGAUGCGAGCGUUAUCCGGAUUUAUUGGGUUUAAAGGGUGCGUAGGCGGAUUAAUAAGUCAGUGGUGAAAACCUGCAGCUUAACUGUAGAAUUGCCAUUGAUACUGUUAGUCUUGAGUACGGUCAAGGUAGGCGGAAUGUGUAAUGUAGCGGUGAAAUGCUUAGAUAUUACACAGAACACCGAUUGCGAAGGCAGCUUACUGGGCCAUUACUGACGCUGAGGCACGAAAGCGUGGGGAGCGAACAGGAUUAGAUACCCUGGUAGUCCACGCCGUAAACGAUGAUCACUCGCUGUUGGCGAUACACAGUCAGCGGCUAAGCAAAAGCAUUAAGUGAUCCACCUGGGGAGUACGGCCGCAAGGCUGAAACUCAAAGGAAUUGACGGGG